GGGGUAAUGGCCCACCAAGGCUACGAUGGGUAGCUGGUCUGAGAGGAUGAUCAGCCACACUGGGACUGAGACACGGCCCAGACUCCUACGGGAGGCAGCAGUGGGGAAUCUUGCGCAAUGGGCGAAAGCCUGACGCAGCAACGCCGCGUGCGGGAGGAAGGCCUUCGGGUUGUAAACCGCUUUCAGGGGAGACGAAGCUUCCAGGGUUAAUAGCUCUGUGGAGUGACGGUAUCUUCAGAAGAAGUCCCGGCUAACUACGUGCCAGCAGCCGCGGUGAUACGUAGGGGACAAGCGUUGUCCGGAAUUAUUGGGCGUAAAGCGCGUGUAGGCGGCCAAGUAAGUCUUACGUGAAAUCCUGAGGCUCAACCUCAGGCCUGCGCGGGAUACUGCUUGGCUAGAGUCCGGAAGAGGAGAGUGGAAUUCCUGGUGUAGCGGUGGAAUGCGCAGAUAUCAGGAGGAACAUCCGUGGCGAAGGCGGCUCUCUGGGGCGGUACUGACGCUGAGACGCGAAAGCGUGGGGAGCGAACAGGAUUAGAUACCCUGGUAGUCCACGCCGUAAACGAUGGGCGCUAGGUGUGGGAGGUGUCGAUUCCUUCCGUGCCGAAGCUAACGCAUUAAGCGCCCCGCCUGGGGAGUACGGUCGCAAGACUAAAACUCAAAGGAAUUGACG
RNAcentral lists this ribosomal RNA (670 nucleotides) under uncultured Actinomycetes bacterium. RNAcentral describes it as "SSU rRNA". It matches the Rfam family "Bacterial small subunit ribosomal RNA", at positions 254 to 915 of the family's 1533-position model. Lineage: Bacteria; Bacillati; Actinomycetota; Actinomycetes. The record is from RNAcentral.